GAGACUGGUUUGUCUGAUGCUGCUGCCGGAGCUGAGGUCUUGCCUGGAGAUCCGAACGAGACACCACGUCAACCGGCGCGGGGAGUCCCGUGAAGACAUGAGGGCGCCAGGAGCGCAGGCUGGUCUUCUAGAGCCCGGGCUGGGGGUCCGGGGUCCGGGGUGGGGGAGGGGAGGCGCGGGGCCCCGGGAGGGAGGGGUCGGGAGGCGUCGGCUGGGCCUGGCGGUGGGGGAGGAGAGGAGAGCAGCGAGGAGGCCCUGGAGUUCCCGAGGCGGGGGGCCGGGGUGCGAGUGGGCGACGCGAGGCGCCCCUCCCUGGGCUGCAGGGAGAGCGCUGAGAGCGCGGAGACGCCGCGGGGCUAGCGCCUUCUCCUCUCCGGGUGGAUCAAAAAUCGAGAGGAAUGUGCGGCGCUCUGCGCGGGCCAGCCGAAAGGGGCAAUCCGAACUUGACCGCGGCGCCCGCGCCGGGCUUUGCCCCCGCGCGCCGCACUGGGAGGGUGGCGCUCUGCCGGUGCAGGGCAGCGCCGGGCUUUCCUCGCGCCUGUCGAAGGCCGGCCUUCCCGCUCGGGUGUCUCGCCCUCUCGCUUCUCCGCAGGGCAGGAGGCAGUGGCGAGAAAAGGAGCUGCCGGCCGGAGUUCUAGCACCGAGAAGGAGAGUACUGGAAUACCUGAGUUUUGGCUGGGCACAGAACUGUCUGGAAUACAGACUGCAAUUCCCAGCCUUCUGUGCAGUUCUGUGUGGCCAUGUGACUAAGUUGUGGUCAAUAUGAGUCACGGAAGAAUAGAAGAACAACUCAGAGGAGGAAGAAGUCAGACAUAGCCAGACACGGCUGCUAGCAGUUCCACCAAUGAAAGAGGAGACCAGGAUGUUUAAAACAGGCAAACACAAGGUGCGAAAAACCAGAAGCGAAAACUUCUGAGGUCAUUUAAGCAAGGACUAUCGUUAUCCCCGGAAGCAGAGAGAAGUUCCCUUUGCCCAACAUCACACUGCAAGCACGUGUUGGAGCUGAGAUUCAAACCCAGGCAUCCAGGGUCCAGGGCCCAUGCUUUUAAUAUAUUCCAUAUCUUAGGAGAAUUUCCCCUAUUUAAACAAUAAAAGUGCAAAAAUCUUGUGGCUAGCCAAAA
Molecule: long non-coding RNA, 1121 nt
Filed under: Homo sapiens (human)
Lineage: Eukaryota; Metazoa; Chordata; Mammalia; Primates; Hominidae
Description: non-protein coding lnc-WDR70-7:12
Source: RNAcentral